RNAcentral lists this ribosomal RNA (494 nucleotides) under uncultured bacterium. Its description in RNAcentral is "SSU rRNA". It matches the Rfam family "Bacterial small subunit ribosomal RNA", at positions 26 to 521 of the family's 1533-position model. The record is from RNAcentral.
AGGACGAACGCUGGCGGCGUGCUUAACACAUGCAAGUCGAGCGGAAAGGCCCUUCGGGGUACUCGAGCGGCGAACGGGUGAGUAACACGUGAGUAACCUGCCCUUGGCUCUGGGAUAGCUCCGGGAAACCGGAAUUAAUACCGGAUAUGACUUCGGCCGACAUCGGCUGCGGUGGAAAGAUUUAUCGGCCAGGGAUGGGCUCGCGGCCUAUCAGCUUGUUGGUGGGGUAACGGCCUACCAAGGCGACGACGGGUAGCCGGCCUGAGAGGGCGACCGGCCACACUGGGACUGAGACACGGCCCAGACUCCUACGGGAGGCAGCAGUGGGGAAUAUUGCGCAAUGGGCGAAAGCCUGACGCAGCGACGCCGCGUGGGGGAUGAAGGCCUUCGGGUUGUAAACCCUGUCAUUGUGACAAAUUGUUUCAUCUAACACAUGAAAUAUUGAUAGUAACGGAAGAGGAAGGGACGGCUAACUCUGUGCCAGCAGCCGCGGU